RNAcentral lists this ribosomal RNA (242 nucleotides) under uncultured bacterium. RNAcentral describes it as "partial 16S ribosomal RNA". It matches the Rfam family "Bacterial small subunit ribosomal RNA", at positions 524 to 765 of the family's 1533-position model. The record is from RNAcentral.
UACGAAGGGGGCGAGCGUUGUUCGGAUUUACUGGGCGUAAAGCGUGCGCAGGCGGUUUUGUAAGUUUGUCGUGAAAUCCCCGGGCUCAACCUGGGAAUUGCGAUGAAGACUGCAAGGCUAGAAUCUGGCAGAGGGGGGUAGAAUUCCACGUGUAGCAGUGAAAUGCGUAGAGAUGUGGAGGAACACCGAUGGCGAAGGCAGCCCCCUGGGUCAAGAUUGACGCUCAUGCACGAAAGGCGUGG